AUUGAACGCUGGCGGCAGGCCUAACACAUGCAAGUCGAGCGGAUGAAGGGAGCUUGCUCCUGGAUUCAGCGGCGGACGGGUGAGUAAUGCCUAGGAAUCUGCCUGGUAGCGGGGGAUAACGUCCGGAAACGGGCGCUAAUACCGCAUACGUCCUGAGGGAGAAAGUGGGGGAUCUUCGGACCUCACGCUCUCAGAUGAGCCUAGGUCGGAUUAACUAGUUGGUGGGGUAAAGGCCUACCAAGCCGACGAUCCGUAACUGGUCUGAGAGGAUGAUCAGUCACACGGGAAGUGAGACACGGUCCAGACUCCUACGGGAGGCAGCAGUGGGGAAUAUUGGACAAUGGGCGAAAGCCUGAUCCAGCCAUGCCGCGUGUGUGAAGAAGGUCUUCGGAUUGUAAAGCACUUUAAGUUGGGAGGAAGGGCAGUAAGUUAAUACCUUGCUGUUUUGACGUUACCAACAGAAUAAGCACCGGCUAACUUCGUG
Molecule: ribosomal RNA, 484 nt
Filed under: uncultured bacterium
Lineage: Bacteria
Description: partial 16S ribosomal RNA
Rfam family: Bacterial small subunit ribosomal RNA
Source: RNAcentral